GAAUAGAGUUUAUUAGUAAUUAUGAGCUACUUUGCAAAUAAGAAUGCGUGUAGAACAAAGGCCUCAAAGAGUGAAGGAAACUUUCAUCCGCUUAAUUUUAGUUUGUUUACCUUCUUUAGCAUGCACAAAACUUCAGAUUCUCAAACACCUUUCCCACCUUAUUCUCAAGUCUCAACACAUACCUGUGCAAGAAGAUGAACUAAAAUGGUUGCAUUGUUGCAGCAUCAGGUGGUUUUUCCUCUUACUCUUGCUUCCUUUGCUUAUCAAACAAAGAUGAACUAAAAUGGACCCAGAAGC
This 297-nucleotide unclassified non-coding RNA is filed under the name Hevea brasiliensis (rubber tree). The record is from RNAcentral. Lineage: Eukaryota; Viridiplantae; Streptophyta; Magnoliopsida; Malpighiales; Euphorbiaceae.